Caenorhabditis elegans is the source of this 268-nucleotide non-coding RNA. The record is from Ensembl. NCBI's taxonomy places the organism in Eukaryota, Metazoa, Nematoda, Chromadorea, Rhabditida, Rhabditidae.
AUAAAUCAGGAAAACGACGAUAAAAUUGGACAAGAGACAACCCGAGCGGGAGCGCAACUUGUCAUCUCCCCCGGGAAAUAGUGUUAGGGGAUUAGAGACGCAGAGAUAGUUGACACGAGUUGAGGUGAACACGUAAAUCAAGAUAAAAUUAAGAGAAGGGGAGACGACAAGAAGGUGUGGAUGAUUGCCAUAAAAGGUCAUACAAAUUGUUUUGGGACAUACGGGGGGGGGAACGCCACGUAUUCGAGAGAUUGUGUUCGGUGAUAGA